This 251-nucleotide unclassified non-coding RNA is filed under the name uncultured Sordariomycetes. Its description in RNAcentral is "sequence contains ITS2". Lineage: Eukaryota; Fungi; Ascomycota; Sordariomycetes. The record is from RNAcentral.
AACGCACAUUGCGCCCAUUAGUAUUCUAGUGGGCAUGCCUGUUCGAGCGUCAUUUCAACCCUCAAGCCCUAGUUGCUUGGUGUUGGGAGCCUAUCUUCGGAUAACUCCUCAAAAGCAUUGGCGGAGUCGCGGUGACCCCAAGCGUAGUAAUUUCUUCUCGCUUCAGGUGUUCACGGCUGACGUCUUGCCGUUAAACCCCCUAUUUUCUAGUGGUUGACCUCGGAUCAGGUAGGAAUACCCGCUGAACUUAA